This 785-nucleotide ribosomal RNA is filed under the name uncultured bacterium. RNAcentral's name for it is "bacterial SSU rRNA". It matches the Rfam family "Bacterial small subunit ribosomal RNA", at positions 733 to 1533 of the family's 1533-position model. The record is from RNAcentral.
ACCUACACUGACCUUGGGGCAGGAAAGCGUGGGAGCCAACCAGAAUUGAAUACCCUGGUAGUUCCGGCCCUAAACGAUGCAUACCUGGUGUGGGCAGUUCAAUCUGUCCGGGCCGAAGUUAACGCGAUAAGUAUCCCGCCUGGGGAGUACGUUCGCAAGGCUGAAACUCAAAGGAAUUGACGGGGGCCCGCACAAGCGGUGGAGCAUGUGGUUUAAUUCGACGCCACGCGAAGAACCUUACCUGGGGUCGAACGGCUUCCCAACGGUUCUGGAAACAGAGCUAUCCCGCAAGGGAGUGGAGUCGAGGUGCUGCAUGGCUGUCGUCAGCUCGUGUCGUGAGAUGUUGGGUUAAGUCCCGCAACGAGCGCAACCAUUGUCCUGUGUCGCAACUAUUAAGUUAGGCACUCUCAGGAGACCGCCAGCGAUAAGCUGGAGGAAGGUGGGGAUGACGUCAAGUCAUCAUGGCCUUUAUGUCCAGGGCUACACACGUGCUACAAUGGGCGGUACAAACCGUUGCAAACCCGUGAGGGGGAGCUAAUCGGAAAAAACCGUUCUCAGUUCGGAUUGCAGGCUGCAACCCGCCUGCAUGAAGCUGGAAUCGCUAGUAAUGGUAUAUCAGCACGAUACCGUGAAUACGUUCCCGGGCCUUGUACACACCGCCCGUCACAUCACGAAAGUGGGUUGUACUAGAAGUCUGCGGCCUGACCCGCAAGGGGAGGAGCGGCCUAAGGUAUGACUCAUGAUUGGGGUGAAGUCGUAACAAGGUAAAUCGAAUUCCCGCGGCC